CAUGGGACCAUGUGUACGGUCGGUAACAACUAUGACUUCAAGGAAAAUCCUGAAUCUCUGAACUGAUCUGGGUGAUUUUUGGAUAUGUUGGUCACUCAGGCCAGAGCUAUCAAGGGAUGUAACAUUUGUGGGGUUUUAUGCUCUUUUGGGGUGUUUAAAAAAAACCCCAAAAAAACAACUCUGUGCUUGGAGAUAAUUGGAUUAGAAUUAGUACAGUUACUGAUCCAAUUAUCUCCAAGGCAGAGGGGACGGAUUGUGUGCUGUGUGUGGGAGUGUUGUGCCUUGUAACCUUAUUGUUAUUGGUCUUUGAAGUUGCAAAUCAGUCUAUCAUCAGGUCCGUUUGGGGGUACCCCUUGCAUGAGGAUUGUCAUAUAAGGCCAAGUGUGGCUCCCAUUAACCCCUUAAGGACUGAGCCAAAUGUAC
Molecule: non-coding RNA, 423 nt
Organism: Pelobates cultripes (western spadefoot toad)
Lineage: Eukaryota; Metazoa; Chordata; Amphibia; Anura; Pelobatidae
Source: the annotation of a GenBank genome assembly